UUUAUGGAGAGUUUAAUCCUGGCUCAGGAUGAACGCUGGCGGCGUGCCUAAUACAUGCAAGUCGAGCGAACGGAUGAGAAGCUUGCUUCUCUGAUGUUAGCGGCGGACGGGUGAGUAACACGUGGAUAACCUACCUAUAAGACUGGGAUAACUUCGGGAAACCGGAGCUAAUACCGGAUAAUAUUUUGA
RNAcentral lists this ribosomal RNA (189 nucleotides) under Staphylococcus aureus. RNAcentral's name for it is "partial 16S ribosomal RNA". It matches the Rfam family "Bacterial small subunit ribosomal RNA", at positions 1 to 184 of the family's 1533-position model. The record is from RNAcentral. Lineage: Bacteria; Bacillati; Bacillota; Bacilli; Caryophanales; Staphylococcaceae.